RNAcentral lists this ribosomal RNA (793 nucleotides) under uncultured bacterium. Its description in RNAcentral is "bacterial SSU rRNA". It matches the Rfam family "Bacterial small subunit ribosomal RNA", at positions 629 to 1424 of the family's 1533-position model. The record is from RNAcentral.
GAAACUGGGAGACUUGAGUGCAGAAGAGAGAGUGGAAUUCCAUGUGUAGCGGUGAAAUGCGUAGAUAUAUGGAGGAACACCAGUGGCGAAGGCGGCUCUCUGGUCUGUAACUGACGCUGAGGCUCGAAAGCGUGGGGAGCAAACAGGAUUAGAUACCUGGCAGUCCACGCCGUAAACGAUGAGUGCUAAGUGUUGGAGGGUUUCCGCCCUUCAGUGCUGCAGCUAACGCAUUAAGCACUCCGCCUGGGGAGUACGACCGCAAGGUUGAAACUCAAAGGAAUUGACGGGGGCCCGCACAAGCGGUGGAGCAUGUGGUUUAAUUCGAAGCAACGCGAAGAACCUUACCAGGUCUUGACAUCCUUUGACCACUCUAGAGAUAGAGCUUCCCCUUCGGGGGCAAAGUGACAGGUGGUGCAUGGUUGUCGUCAGCUCGUGUCGUGAGAUGUUGGGUUAAGUCCCGCAACGAGCGCAACCCUUAUUGUUAGUUGCCAUCAUUUAGUUGGGCACUCUAGCAAGACUGCCGGUGACAAACCGGAGGAAGGUGGGGAUGACGUCAAAUCAUCAUGCCCCUUAUGACCUGGGCUACACACGUGCUACAAUGGGAAGUACAACGAGUUGCGAAGUCGCGAGGCUAAGCUAAUCUCUUAAAGCUUCUCUCAGUUCGGAUUGCAGGCUGCAACUCGCCUGCAUGAAGCCGGAAUCGCUAGUAAUCGCGGAUCAGCACGCCGCGGUGAAUGCGUUCCCGGGCCUUGUACACACCGCCCGUCACACCACGAGAGUUUGUAACACCCGA